CAGUCGCCGCGGGAAUACGUAGGGUGCGAGCGUUAAUCGGAAUUACUGGGCGUAAAGCGUGCGCAGGCGGUUGUGUAAGACUGGUGUGAAAUCCCCGGGCUUAACCUGGGAACUGCGCUUGUGACUGCACAGCUAGAGUAUGGCAGAGGGGGGUGGAAUUCCACGUGUAGCAGUGAAAUGCGUAGAGAUGUGGAGGAACACCGAUGGCGAAGGCAGCCCCCUGGGCCAAUACUGACGCUCAUGCACGAAAGCGUGGGGAGCGAACAGGAUUAGAUACCCCCGUAGUCCCUGUCUCUUAUAC
Molecule: ribosomal RNA, 301 nt
Filed under: uncultured bacterium
Lineage: Bacteria
Description: partial 16S ribosomal RNA
Rfam family: Bacterial small subunit ribosomal RNA
Source: RNAcentral